GAUGAACGCUGGCGGCGUGCCUAAUACAUGCAAGUCGAGCGAACAGACGAGGAGCUUGCUCCUCUGACGUUAGCGGCGGACGGGUGAGUAACACGUGGAUAACCUACCUAUAAGACUGGGAUAACUUCGGGAAACCGGAGCUAAUACCGGAUAAUAUAUUGAACCGCAUGGUUCAAUAGUGAAAGACGGUUUUGCUGUCACUUAUAGAUGGAUCCGCGCCGCAUUAGCUAGUUGGUAAGUUAACGGCUUACCAAGGCAACGAUGCGUAGCCGACCUCACAGGGUGAUAGGCCACACUGGAACUGGGACACGGUCCAGACUCCUACGGGAGGCAGCAGUAGGGAAUCUUACGCAAUGGGCGAAAGCUUGACGGAGCAACGCCGCGUGAGUGAUGAAGGUCUUCGGAUCGGAAAACUCUGUUAUUAGGGAAGAACAAAUGUGUAAUUAACCAUGCACGUAGUGACGGUACCUAAUCAGAAAGCCACGGCUAACUACGUG
RNAcentral lists this ribosomal RNA (497 nucleotides) under uncultured bacterium. RNAcentral describes it as "partial 16S ribosomal RNA". It matches the Rfam family "Bacterial small subunit ribosomal RNA", at positions 28 to 507 of the family's 1533-position model. The record is from RNAcentral.